UAGCUUUAAGAUUUUAUUUAAAGUUUUACCUGCCCGGUGGAACUCUUAACGGCCGCAGUACUUUGACUGUGCUAAGGUAGCAUAAUAAAUUGGCUUUUAAUUAAAGUCGGGUAUGAAAGGGACUUUGGAAGGUAGCUGUCUCAAGUAUAUUUUAUUUUAAUUUAAUUAAUGAGUGAAAAUUCUCAUAUUUUAAUACAUUAGACGAGAAGACCCUAAGAGUUAUAAUUAAAAUGAAUUUAUUUCAUAUAUCAUUUUUGUUGGGGCAACAAAGACUGGAUAAAACCGUCAUAAAAUAAAUUUUACAUAACUAAUAGUAUUUAAAAAGAAAUAAACUACCUUAGGGAUAACAGCAUAAUUAAUUUUUAGAUUGUGACCUCGAUGUUGGAUUAAGGACUUAAUUUACUAGCCGUAAAUUAAGAUAGUUCUGUUCGAACUGUAGUACCUU
RNAcentral lists this ribosomal RNA (445 nucleotides) under Vertigo nitidula. RNAcentral's name for it is "partial 16S ribosomal RNA". The record is from RNAcentral. Lineage: Eukaryota; Metazoa; Mollusca; Gastropoda; Stylommatophora; Vertiginidae.